AUGACUGCCGAGUGGGAUGAAGAGAACACUAGGAUCGUUACCAACUUGAUGGUCACGCAAGUGCGGGCUGGAAAUAGGCCAAACAAAAUCUUGACCCCUAGUGCAUUCGACGAAGUGGCAUUGCAAUUCAAAGUGAGAACCAGAUUGGACUACACGAGCCACCAAAUGAAAAACAAAUGGGACAAGCUGAAAGCAGAAUACACUUUAUUCAAGAAGCUCAAGCUAAAGGAGACCGGAGGGGGAUGGGACUUUGUUAUCAACACUGUCAAACAAGAUAAGGAGUGGUGGAAGAAAGCAAAAAUUGACCUUCCAGGUUGCGGCAAGUUCCAAAAGCGUGGACUACGCAAUGAAGAAAACUUGAGCAUUAUGUUUGAGGACAUCACCAGUGAUGGCACAGAUCAUUGGAGUCCUUCAACAGGCAUACUCCCCUCCUCUAGUGCAGCAAUACCAGAUACCAUUGAUAUUGAAGCGAUCAAAGAUGUUGAUUUGUUAGAAGAUCCCCAAGUGCCACCUUCUCCUGUGUCAUCAACGAACAAGAGGCUUAGAAAAACCAUUGAUGACAAGCACAAGAAACCUAGGACUGCAGUGAUGCAGGAUGAGAUUACACAGAUUAAAAACAUUGCUAAGGAGUCCCAAGAAACCGUUCGAUCAUUCAUAAAGAAUGAGGAUGCCACUUCUGUUGCCACUACCAUGAAUGAAGUGCUUGCUUGUGAUAUUUUAGAGGGAAGUGAUGAACACUACAUUGCUACCGAGUUGUUCAUCAAAAGAGAGCAAAGAGAGAUGUUUCUACACAUGGGUGCUGGCGCACGUAAAGAUUGGCUUCAUAGGAAGUUUGCGAUGAUGUAUGGGAAAUAG
Molecule: ribosomal RNA, 855 nt
Filed under: Triticum aestivum (bread wheat)
Lineage: Eukaryota; Viridiplantae; Streptophyta; Magnoliopsida; Poales; Poaceae
Description: partial small subunit ribosomal RNA
Source: RNAcentral